GGACAGGUGGCCGAGUGGUUGAAGGCGCACGCCUGGAAAGCGUGUAUACGUCAAUAGCGUAUCGGGGGUUCGAAUCCCCCCUUGUCCGCCA
Molecule: transfer RNA, 91 nt
Filed under: Candidimonas sp.
Lineage: Bacteria; Pseudomonadati; Pseudomonadota; Betaproteobacteria; Burkholderiales; Alcaligenaceae
Description: tRNA-Ser
Rfam family: tRNA
About the family: Transfer RNA (tRNA) molecules are approximately 80 nucleotides in length. Their secondary structure includes four short double-helical elements and three loops (D, anti-codon, and T loops).
Source: RNAcentral